Molecule: ribosomal RNA, 398 nt
Filed under: uncultured bacterium
Lineage: Bacteria
Description: bacterial SSU rRNA
Rfam family: Bacterial small subunit ribosomal RNA
Source: RNAcentral
GACGAACGCUGGCGGCGUGCUUAACACAUGCAAGUCGAGCGGUAAGGCCCUUUCGGGGGUACACGAGCGGCGAACGGGUGAGUAACACGUGGGUGACCUGCCCUCAGCUCUGGGAUAAGCCUGGGAAACCGGGUCUAAUACCGGAUAUGACUCCAUGACGCAUGUUGUGGGGUGGAAAGCCUUGUGCGGCUGAGGAUGGGCCCGCGGCCUAUCAGCUUGUUGGUGGGGUGAUGGCCUACCAAGGCGACGACGGGUAGCCGGCCUGAGAGGGCGACCGGCCACACUGGGACUGAGACACGGCCCAGACUCCUACGGGAGGCAGCAGUGGGGAAUCUUGCGCAAUGGGCGAAAGCCUGACGCAGCGACGCCGCGUGAGGGAUGACGGCCUGUGUAACUAC